AUGAACGCUGGCGGCGUGCCUAAUACAUGCAAGUCGAGCGAACAGACGAGGAGCUUGCUCCUCUGACGUUAGCGGCGGACGGGUGAGUAACACGUGGAUAACCUACCUAUAAGACUGGGGAAAACUCGGGGAAACCGGAGCAAAUACCGGAAAAUAUAUUGAACGGCAUGGUUCAAUAGUGAAAGACGGUUUUGCUGUCACUAAUAGAUGGAUCCGCGCCGCAUUAGCUAGUUGGUAAGGUAACGGCUUACCAAGGCAACGAUGCGUAGCCGACCUGAGAGGGUGAUCGGCCACACUGGAACUGAGACACGGUCCAGACUCCUACGGGAGGCAGCAGUAGGGAAUCUUCCGCAAUGGGCGAAAGCUUGACGGAGCAACGCCGCGUGAGUGAUGAAGGUCUUCGGAUCGUAAAACUCUGUUAUUAGGGAAGAACAAAUGUGUAAGUAACUAUGCACGUCUUGACGGUACCUAAUCAGAAAGCCACGGCUAACUACGUG
RNAcentral lists this ribosomal RNA (497 nucleotides) under uncultured bacterium. Its description in RNAcentral is "partial 16S ribosomal RNA". It matches the Rfam family "Bacterial small subunit ribosomal RNA", at positions 29 to 507 of the family's 1533-position model. The record is from RNAcentral.